Long non-coding RNA from Cucurbita moschata (crookneck pumpkin), 2028 nucleotides. RefSeq lists it as uncharacterized. The record is from RefSeq and is a predicted model, not a curated record. NCBI's taxonomy places the organism in Eukaryota, Viridiplantae, Streptophyta, Magnoliopsida, Cucurbitales, Cucurbitaceae. The transcript is spliced from 2 exons.
ACUUAGUCCCCUAUAGUACAUUUUGACCAUGACAUCCUCCAUCUAAUUGGUAGGAGUAGACGUGAUUUUACCGAAAUGUCAACAAGAAAUUAUAAUAAUAAAAUAAUACAAAAUGGAAACUAGAUAAAAGGAUUUGGUAUGGCAUGGGCAUGCAGCCAAACACAACACGUCCUAGAGAAGCAUGACCAUGACAUCCUCCAUUUAAUUGGUUGACGUCCUUGUCAACUAACUACGCUCGAACUCGAGGGAUUUGGUAUGACAUGAGCAUGCAGCCAAACACAACACGUCCUAGAGAAGCAUGACCAUGACAUCCUCCAUCUAAUUGGUUGACGUCCUUGUCAACUGACUACGCUCAAACUCGAUGAUAUGGAUGGUGACUGACCAAGUCUUCAGUGUGCUCCAAACUUGUCUCUUCUGUUGGAAGAUUCUUCCAUUUAAUAAGGAAUUCUCAAACUCUCCAUACAAGUCUUCUUACUUUUUUUUAUUCUAUUGGCAAGAAUCUCUUCAACCUCCUUGAUGUCAUUUUGCUCCUUGAUGUCAUUUUGCUACAAAUCGAGUCCCAAGUCUAACAAUGGAAUUGUGACUAUCAUCGUCAGGAUCGGAGUGAUAGGGUUUUAAGUUACUCAAGUAGAUUACUAGAUGAAUUUUCAUCCAUAUGGGUGAUGUCACCCUAUAAGAGGUAGACACGACCUUCUUAAGAAUUUUGACGGGCCCUUCAUACUUUCUAACAAGUCUUUGAUCUUUCCAACUUCAAAAUCAAAUAUGUUCAGUCUAAGUUUGUUUAUGUUCCUCCAACAUGACAUUGUACACAACGAUAUCGUCAAGGUACACAACAAUGAAUUGGUCUAGGUAUUCAUGAAAAACCUGGUUCAUCCACGAACAUAAUGUAAGUGGGGCAUUCGUCAAGCCAAAACCCAGUACCAUAAACUUAAAAGUCCCAUAUCUCGUUACGCAAGUUUUCAUAAGUUCAUCUCCUUCAACCAUGCACACUUGGUAGUAUCUUGAUCAUAAAUCCAAUUUCGUUAAGUAUUUAACCCCAUAGAGUUGGUCAAACAAAUCAUAUAUUAUCAGCAAGAGACACUUGGUCCAUACUGUCACCUUUUUUAAAGCUCUAUAGUCGAUGCAUAGACUUGUGUCCUGUCUUUCUUCUUCUGAAAUAAUACAGGGUGGCAUAAGGUGCCUUCGUGGGACAGAUGAACCCUGUAGCCAACAGCUCGUCUAAUUGCUUCCUCAAUUCAGCUAACUUUGAUAGAGCCAUCCAAUAUGCGUUUUUCGUUGGGGGUUUAACUCCAAGUAGGAACUCAAUUUCGUGAUCGAUGCCACAAUGAGGGUGUAAUGUCUUUGGCAAGCUAUUUGGCAUUAUAUCAACAUAACUAUGCAGAACACUUUUUACUUCACUUGGGAUAGGUUCUGCGGUGAUUACAUCUUCUAUCAUUGGCCAUGAAUGUAGACUUUUAUCGGGCGAACCCUUUCUUUCUCCAUCUUGUAGAAGUUAGGUGAAUGUAGUGAUGAAGAAUUUGAAAAGACAGCAGAUAAUAGCUAAGGGCAAUAGUUCCACCUAUUCUUCAAAUUCGUUUUGGGUUAGAAAAGAAAAGGAGGUGAUCAGUAUUAGAAGUAGAAAAACUUAACCAUCUCUUGUAUUCAACCUGGAGAGUUCUAAGAUCACAGAGACCAUACAUUCAGACCAACCCACUCCACUUGUCUUCUUCCUCAUAUACGUUUCACUACCUCUAUACUUGAGCUUGCUAAAUUUAAAUACCAAAAAAAAUACCAAAAAUAAGCAUUAAUAGUAAAAACUCAAGGUCAAAAAAGUGUAAAAUCUUACCACCUAGGGAUUAAAUGGAAACUAAACUCUGAACUCAACGAUAAGCUUGGAAAUCAAGAGUAUUGUAACACUUGGGAUCCUAGGGACCAAACUAAAACUAAAACUAAGCUCGAAUGUCAAGAGUAAAAAUAUAACAUUUUGAAACAUUUGAUAUAAAGACUUGAGAAGGUAUUGAAGUAAUCAGAAGUAAAAAAAAAAAAAAA